UACAGAGGUCCCAAGCGUUGUUCGGAUUCACUGGGCGUAAAGGGUGCGUAGGCGGUCGGGUAAGUCUGAUGUGAAAUCUCCAAGCUUAACUUGGAAAUGGCAUCGGAUACUAUUCGGCUCGAGGAAUGGAGGGGAGACUGGAAUACUUGGUGUAGCAGUGAAAUGCGUAGAUAUCGGGAGGAACACCAGUGGCGAAGGCGGCUUCCUGGCCUGUUCUUGACGCUGAGGCGCGAAAGCUAGGGUAGCAAACGGG
This 253-nucleotide ribosomal RNA is filed under the name uncultured bacterium. RNAcentral describes it as "partial 16S ribosomal RNA". It matches the Rfam family "Bacterial small subunit ribosomal RNA", at positions 524 to 776 of the family's 1533-position model. The record is from RNAcentral.